This 441-nucleotide ribosomal RNA is filed under the name Granulicatella elegans. Its description in RNAcentral is "bacterial SSU rRNA". It matches the Rfam family "Bacterial small subunit ribosomal RNA", at positions 28 to 457 of the family's 1533-position model. Lineage: Bacteria; Bacillati; Bacillota; Bacilli; Lactobacillales; Carnobacteriaceae. The record is from RNAcentral.
GACGAACGCUGGCGGCGUGCCUAAUACAUGCAAGUCGAACGAGAGCGACCGGUGCUUGCACUGGUCAAUCUAGUGGCGAACGGGUGAGUAACACGUGGGUAACCUGCCCAUCAGAGGGGGAUAACAUUCGGAAACGGAUGCUAAAACCGCAUAGGUUCUACAGUCGCAUGACUGAAGAAGGAAAAGAGGCUUCGGCUUCUGCUGAUGGAUGGACCCGCGGUGCAUUAGCUAGUUGGUGAGGUAACGGCUCACCAAGGCCGUGAUGCAUAGCCGACCUGAGAGGGUGAUCGGCCACAUUGGGACUGAGACACGGCCCAAACUCCUACGGGAGGCAGCAGUAGGGAAUCUUCCGCAAUGGACGCAAGUCUGACGGAGCAACGCCGCGUGAGUGAAGAAGGAUUUCGGUUCGUAAAACUCUGUUGUUAGAGAAGAACAGCGCAU